This 253-nucleotide ribosomal RNA is filed under the name uncultured bacterium. RNAcentral's name for it is "partial 16S ribosomal RNA". It matches the Rfam family "Bacterial small subunit ribosomal RNA", at positions 524 to 776 of the family's 1533-position model. The record is from RNAcentral.
UACGAGGGGUGCAAGCGUUGCUCGGAAUUAUUGGGCGUAAAGGGCAGGUAGGUGGUCCUAUUUGUCUGAGGUGAAAUCCCAGGGCUUAACCCUGGAAGUGCCUUAGAAACGGUAGGACUAGAGUUCUAGAGGGGUUUGUGGAAUUCCCGGUGUAGCGGUGAAAUGCGUAGAGAUCGGGAGGAACACCAGCAGCGAAGGCGGCAAACUGGAUAGACACUGACACUCAACUGCGAAAGCGUGGGGAGCAAACAGG